This 91-nucleotide transfer RNA is filed under the name Candidatus Woesearchaeota archaeon. RNAcentral describes it as "tRNA-Lys". It matches the Rfam family "tRNA". From Rfam's summary of the family: Transfer RNA (tRNA) molecules are approximately 80 nucleotides in length. Lineage: Archaea; Nanobdellati; Candidatus Woesearchaeota. The record is from RNAcentral.
GGGCCGGUAGCUCAGCCUGGAUCCCCGAAGAGGGCGAUAGAGCACUGCACUUUUAAUGCAGUGGUCGCGAGUUCGAAUCUCGUCCGGCCCA